CAGACUUUGGCUGCCAUCCACCAACAUGGAUUGCACUAAAAGACAACCUCCUUGUGACUUCGACACGGCCCUGCUUUCAUCUGAAGCUCCCAAGCUGGGGGUCCCUUGAGGGGAAGAAAAAGAAUUGUAUUUGCUUAUAUGCUCCUUUAAGAAGUCUGGAAUAAUUCAGAGGAACAUAAAAGCAGUUACUCGACGGGGUGUAGGGAAACUGUGGAGAUGGCAGAGAAUAGGGUUGCGUGUGUGACUUUUCACUGAUCAUCUCUUACAUUUAUUUGUAUUUGUUAUUUUUGACCCAUGUGAAUGACCCAGAGCUCUGAAAAAAUUAGCAAAUAAUCCAAUAAAAGAACUUCAAAUAACUCUA
Long non-coding RNA from Balaenoptera musculus (blue whale), 361 nucleotides. RefSeq lists it as uncharacterized. The record is from RefSeq and is a predicted model, not a curated record. The transcript has 2 exons. Lineage: Eukaryota; Metazoa; Chordata; Mammalia; Artiodactyla; Balaenopteridae.